ACUAAAUAGAUACCCGGGUAGUCCACGCCCUAAACGAUGUCUACUAGUUGUUGGUGGAGUAAAAUCCAUGAGUAAACGCAGCUAAACGCGUGAAGUAGACCGCCUGGGGAGUACGGUCGCAAGAUUAAAACUCAAAGGAAUUGACGGGGCCCGGCACAAGCGGUGGAUUAUGUGGAUUAAUUCGAUGCAACGACGAAAAACCUUAACCUGGCCGUUGACAUGCCACUAACGAAGCAGAGAUGCAUUAGGUGCCCGUAACGGGAAAGUGGACACAGGUGCUGCAUGGCUGUCGUCAGCUCGUGUCGUGAGAUGUUGGGUUAAGUCCCGCAACGAGCGCAACCCUUGCCAUU
This 350-nucleotide ribosomal RNA is filed under the name uncultured bacterium. RNAcentral describes it as "bacterial SSU rRNA". It matches the Rfam family "Bacterial small subunit ribosomal RNA", at positions 772 to 1112 of the family's 1533-position model. The record is from RNAcentral.